This is a long non-coding RNA of Lacerta agilis (Sand lizard), 244 nucleotides long. RefSeq lists it as uncharacterized. The record is from RefSeq and is a predicted model, not a curated record. Lineage: Eukaryota; Metazoa; Chordata; Lepidosauria; Squamata; Lacertidae. The transcript is spliced from 4 exons.
CCUGAGUCAGGCAGUGGAGAGAAAGCAGGCCGAGCAGCAGGGAGCGAAUCUGUUUGUAGAAUUGUGCAUGGAUUAUUCUGAGGCAGAGACAUUGGACACCAGACAGAGGCCACUGGGUGACAGAAUGAUGCUGGCAAGACCUUCUCAUCCAUCUUUUCAUCGUGGCAGAGGGGAAGCAGCGGCUGUGGAACCAGAUCAGGGUCCAGUGCGCUUUGAAGAUGUAGCUGUUUAUUUCACAGACGAG